Molecule: long non-coding RNA, 260 nt
Organism: Amphimedon queenslandica
Lineage: Eukaryota; Metazoa; Porifera; Demospongiae; Haplosclerida; Niphatidae
Exons: 3
Source: RefSeq, a predicted model, not a curated record
AUUUCAAUGGAUGGAGAAAGCUCAUGGAUCACAUUUGCUUUCAGAAAAUACUGUAAUGCUAGAACUUAAGGUUUGGAGUGAUAUUUUUUUGUUCUCGAGGGAAAAUUUUAUUAUGACAUGUAAUUCAGUGCUCUUGCAGCGUUUGAGCAAAAUUGAUGUUGUUAUGAAAACAAGUAUUCUAUCUAGAUCGACCAGUAAGUUACAUCAAGAAGUCGUUUCUGGAUUACGAAAUAGCAUCUUACAAUCUGUCAAAAAAGAUA